Non-coding RNA from Peromyscus maniculatus bairdii (prairie deer mouse), 743 nucleotides. The record is from RefSeq and is a predicted model, not a curated record. NCBI's taxonomy places the organism in Eukaryota, Metazoa, Chordata, Mammalia, Rodentia, Cricetidae.
CUUUCUUAGAGCUUGGUGCAAUAUGGAGGACUCGAUCCCCGCAGUGAGGGCUUCCUGCUUUCUACCUAACCUUAUUUGGAGAAUGUCUCUAGGCCCAGAUGCCUGACUUAUCUCAAGUGUGGUCCUUGACAGAGUGUUCUGUAAAAGCCUUCCCCCUGCUGCCCAUAUGGUAACCAGACAUUGUACUAGGAGCAUUAUGAUAGGACUGUGCUGUCACAUAUGCUAAUUAGGUGAUGUCCCACCUGCUGUCCCUGCACAACAUAUCUCCCUCACUCUGGAAUAAAGCUGGGCUGUAACACUGAAGCAGUCUCUCAGAAGGCUAUUUCCGUCAUGCUCACAGGUCAGACAAAGCCUUUCUUGCUGCUUCUGCCCCUCACGGCCUGGUGGCCAACAGAUCACUGGGAAGGAAAGGAACCACAAGGGUCCUGAAACUGAUGAAGAUUUAGGAUCAAGAACCUGUGGCUUUCUAUCCAUGAACAUUCCCUUGAAUCAGUACUUCCCAAUCAGAAGUGAAUUUAUUCCUCAGAGGGUAUCUGACAUAAUCUGGAGCAACUUCUGAUUGUCACCUUUGAGGACUGGGAUGUGUUACUGGCAUCUAACCGUCAGACAGAUUCCAGGUAUGCUGCAAAAACAUUACACAGAGAACAGGCCUCGAUCUCGCCAUGGAACCCAGCACAAUUUCCAAGACACGAAGAGAGAGACACCAAAGAGGGCAAGACCACAGGCGGUAACCACAAGGGUUA